GGGACAACAGUUGGAAACGACUGCUAAUACCGCAUAAGCCCACGGAUCCGCAUGGAUCUGCGGGAAAAGGAUUUAUUCGCUCUAGGAUGGACUCGCGUCCAAUUAGCUAGUUGGUGAGGUAACGGCCCACCAAGGCGACGAUUGGUAGCCGGACUGAGAGGUUGAACGGCCACAUUGGGACUGAGACACGGCCCAGACUCCUACGGGAGGCAGCAGUGGGGGAUAUUGCACAAUGGGGGAAACCCUGAUGCAGCGACGCCGCGUGGAGGAAGAAGGUUUUCGGAUUGUAAACUCCUGUCGUUAGGGACGAUAAUGACGGUACCUAACAAGAAAGCACCGGCUAACUACGUGCCAGCAGCCGCGGUAAAACGUAGGGUGCAAGCGUUGUCCGGAAUUACUGGGUGUAAAGGGAGCGCAGGCGGACCGGCAAGUUGGAAGUGAAAACUAUGGGCUCAACCCAUAAAUUGCUUUCAAAACUGCUGGCCUUGAGUAGUGCAGAGGUAGGUGGAAUUCCCGGUGUAGCGGUGGAAUGCGUAGAUAUCGGGAGGAACACCAGUGGCGAAGGCGACCUACUGGGCACCAACUGACGCUGAGGCUCGAAAGCAUGGGUAGCAAACAGGAUUAGAUACCCUGGUAGUCCAUGCCGUAAACGAUCAUAACUAGGUGUUGGAGGAUUGACCCCUUCAGUGCCGCAG
RNAcentral lists this ribosomal RNA (695 nucleotides) under uncultured bacterium. Its description in RNAcentral is "bacterial SSU rRNA". It matches the Rfam family "Bacterial small subunit ribosomal RNA", at positions 140 to 851 of the family's 1533-position model. The record is from RNAcentral.